UUUUGUGUGAUAAGAGACACAAUAAAGAUGGGUCCCCUAACACAAUUGUUGGUGGUCAGAGAAGACAUUUUAGGAGAAAUAAUGUCAGAUCUAGGUGUACAUGAAGAAGUAGGAAUGCAUCAGACAAAAUGGAGUGCAGUAGUGAGUAGGGGAAGAUGUAAUAUGAAGAAAAACAGUGAUCAUGACGUGCACCUGAGUCCCCUCCCUUAUAACACAGUGAUUUCCACUGGAGGACCAUCACAUACUAUGUCUCUCCCCCACUGUCGUAUUAUUGGCAGAACAGGACUCUCUAGGUCCCAUUCUCCCACUGAGAAGCUGGAAGAAUCACAUCCUCCCUUAGCAGCCCUCAGUACAACCAAGGCUGAUGUUUCCGAUUCAUGUGGUUUCUCCUGGAAACUUGGUCUUCAAAACUUGGAGAUCACAUCUGUGGACUUUAUUAUGGAAUAGUUUGAUCCCAGGAAAUUUUUUUAUGUCUGCUUUGGCAGUGGAUCUAGGAGGAAUGUGAGGUGGGUACAAAGAGGAAAGGGCAGAUGCCCAAGUGUUGCUGUGGACUCCUUCUGAGGGGAGGAGCAUGGUGGGGACAAGAGGUGCAGAGUCUCACCACACAGACCCCAGGGAGUCGGGUGAAAGUGGGCCAGAGAUGAGCAGCUCACAGACUCCUUUAUUUCAAUUGGUGCAGCAGCUUAUAUAGCCGAGGCAGCCAAUCUGAUCAAGGGGCAGUUUAUGCUGUAACCAAUCACUGCCUGUUGCCAGGCAGCCUCUGUUGCCAGGUGGGUUCUGAAGCCAUUUCCUGAGUAACUGACGCUCACUUGCCAACGCCAUGUUGGCACGGCCUUCUCAUUCCACCACUCCCAAGAUCAUUUUAAAGUAAGGCAAUAUGGCCAUCAAUGAGGGGUGUGCUUUCACUUCUCUUCCUCUUUGGGCUUCCCACCAUUCAGUUAAUAACACACUGAUCGCUUUGAACAGUAUCUGUCAUUUAUGUCACUCCCUAAAUCAAGGACUUCUGGAAGACAUGACCUGGGUUUCAUUCACUUUCCUACUUCCAGGAGCCUCAUACAGAGCCUGUAAAUAGGUACAAUUGAUUUUCACAAACUCCUCAUUCUGCUCCCUCCCCUUUCAGGAAGGUCUUUGCCCAUUCAAACUUGCUGACAGGGAAAGGGGAGGCAGUGUAUACAGGGAUUUGUCUUUCUAUUCCUGCCUCUCCCUGCCCCUCCUGAAAAAGAGUCUAGGGCUCAGCAAGGCCUCUGGAACUUACUAACAUGAGGGACUUAAUAACUGAUAAUGGUGCGCUUGUUAUUAGACAAACUUUUUGUUGAUAGUGUAGGGCUCUCACUUGAUAUUUAUUUUCUCCUCUUCUGGUUCUCUCCAUUUCCUCUUUCCUUGAAAUCUCCUCUCUUCUGGGGCCGGUGCUGUGGUGCAGCGGGUUACCACCCUGGCCUGAAGUGCUGGCAUCCCAUACUACUGGUUUGAGACCCAGCUGCUCCACUUCCCAUCCAGCUCUCUGCUUUGGCCUUGGAAAGCAGUAGAAGAUGGCCAUAGUCCUUGGGCCCCUGCACCCAUGAGGGAGACCCAGAAGAAGCUCCUGGCUCCUGGCUCCUGGCUUCAGAUUGGCGCAGCUCCGGCCAUUGUGACCAUCUGGGGAGUGAACCAGCGGAAGGAAGACCUCUCCCUCUCUGCCUCUCCUUCUCUUUCUGUAUAAUUCCAACUUUCAAAUAAAUAAAUAAAUCUCUUUUUAAAAAAAAUCUCC
This 1747-nucleotide long non-coding RNA is filed under the name Oryctolagus cuniculus (rabbit). Its description in RNAcentral is "lncRNA (ENSOCUG00000036583.1)". Lineage: Eukaryota; Metazoa; Chordata; Mammalia; Lagomorpha; Leporidae. The record is from RNAcentral.